UGGGGAAUUUUGGACAAUGGGGGAAACCCUGAUCCAGCCAUCCCGCGUGUGCGAUGAAGGCCUGCGGGUUGUAAAGCACUUUUGGCAGGAAAGAAACGUCAUGGGUUAAUACCCCGUGAAACUGACGGUACCUGCAGAAUAAGCACCGGCUAACUACGUGCCAGCAGCCGCGGUAAUACGUAGGGUGCAAGCGUUAAUCGGAAUUACUGGGCGUAAAGCGUGCGCAGGCGGUUCGGAAAGAAAGAUGUGAAAUCCCAGAGCUCAACUUUGGAACUGCAUUUUUAACUACCGGGCUAGAGUGUGUCAGAGGGAGGUGGAAUUCCGCGUGUAGCAGUGAAAUGCGUAGCUAUGCGGAGGAACACCGAUGGCGAAGGCAGCCUCCUGGGAUAACACUGACGCUCAUGCACGAAAGCGUGGGGAGCAAACAGG
RNAcentral lists this ribosomal RNA (429 nucleotides) under Acidobacteriota bacterium. RNAcentral's name for it is "Acidobacteria bacterium partial 16S ribosomal RNA". It matches the Rfam family "Bacterial small subunit ribosomal RNA", at positions 355 to 776 of the family's 1533-position model. Lineage: Bacteria; Pseudomonadati; Acidobacteriota. The record is from RNAcentral.